RNAcentral lists this ribosomal RNA (253 nucleotides) under uncultured bacterium. RNAcentral describes it as "partial 16S ribosomal RNA". It matches the Rfam family "Bacterial small subunit ribosomal RNA", at positions 524 to 776 of the family's 1533-position model. The record is from RNAcentral.
UACGAAGGGGGCAAGCGUUGUUCGGAAUUACUGGGCGUAAAGGGCGCGUAGGCGGCCGAUCAAGUCAGGCGUGAAAUUCCCGGGCUCAACCUGGGGGCUGCGCUUGAUACUGAUUGGCUUGAAUGCGGGAGAGGAUAGUGGAAUUCCCAGUGUAGAGGUGAAAUUCGUAGAUAUUGGGAGGAACACCGGUGGCGAAGGCGGCGACCUGGGUCGAGACUGACGCUGAGGCGCGAAAGCGUGGGGAGCAAACAGG